This 468-nucleotide ribosomal RNA is filed under the name uncultured bacterium. RNAcentral's name for it is "partial 16S ribosomal RNA". It matches the Rfam family "Bacterial small subunit ribosomal RNA", at positions 28 to 507 of the family's 1533-position model. The record is from RNAcentral.
GACGAACGCUGGCGGCGUGCUUAACACAUGCAAGUCGAACGGCAAGGCCCUGCUUUUGUGGGGUGAUCGAGUGGCGAACGGGUGAGUAACACGUGAGUAACCGGCCCUUGACUUUGGGAUAACUUCAGGAAACUGGGGCUAAUACCGGAUAGGAGCUCCUGCAGCGUGGUGGGGGUUGGAAAGUUUCGGCGGUUGGGGAUGGACUCGCGGCUUAUCAGCUUGUUGGUGGGGUAGUGGCUUACCAAGGCUUUGGCGGGUAGCCGGCCUGAGAGGGUGACCGGCCACAUUGGGACUGAGAUACGGCCCAGACUCCUACGGGAGGCAGCAGUGGGGAAUAUUGCACAAUGGGCGGAAGCCUGAUGCAGCAACGCCGCGUGCGGGAUGACGGCCUUCGGGUUGUAAACCGCUUUCGCCUGUGACGAAGCGUGAGUGACGGUAAUGGGUAAAGAAGCACCGGCUAACUACGUG